RNAcentral lists this ribosomal RNA (253 nucleotides) under uncultured bacterium. RNAcentral's name for it is "partial 16S ribosomal RNA". It matches the Rfam family "Bacterial small subunit ribosomal RNA", at positions 524 to 776 of the family's 1533-position model. The record is from RNAcentral.
UACGAAGGGGGCUAGCGUUGCUCGGAAUUACUGGGCGUAAAGCGCACGUAGGCGGAUUGUUAAGUCGGGGGUGAAAUCCUGGAGCUCAACUCCAGAACUGCCUUCGAAACUGGCGAUCUUGAGUCCGGGAGAGGUGAGUGGAACUGCGAGUGUAGAGGUGAAAUUCGUAGAUAUUCGCAAGAACACCAGUGGCGAAGGCGGCUCACUGGCCCGGUACUGACGCUGAGGUGCGAAAGCGUGGGGAGCAAACAGG